This 497-nucleotide ribosomal RNA is filed under the name uncultured bacterium. Its description in RNAcentral is "partial 16S ribosomal RNA". It matches the Rfam family "Bacterial small subunit ribosomal RNA", at positions 28 to 507 of the family's 1533-position model. The record is from RNAcentral.
GAUGAACGCUGGCGGCGUGCCUAAUACAUGCAAGUCGAGCGAACGGACGAUAAGCUUGCUUCUCUGAUGUUAGCGGCGGACGGGUGAGUAACACGUGGAUAACCUACCUAUAAGACUGGGAUAACUUCGGGAAACCGGAUCUAAUACCGGAUAAUAUUUUGAACCGCAUGGUUCAAAAGUGAAAGACGGUCUUGCUGUCACUUAUAGAUGGAUCCGCGCUGCAUUAGCUAGUUGGUAAGGUAACGGCUUACCAAGGCAACGAUGCAUAGCCGACCUGAGAGGGUGAUCGGCCACACUGGAACUGAGACACGGUCCAGACUCCUACGGGAGGCAGCAGUAGGGAAUCUUCCGCAAUGGGCGAAAGCCUGACGGAGCAACGCCGCGUGAGUGAUGAAGGUCUUCGGAUCGUAAAACUCUGUUAUUAGGGAAGAACAUAUGUGUAAGUAACUGUGCACAUCUUGACGGUACCUAAUCAGAAAGCCACGGCUAACUACGUG